This 571-nucleotide ribosomal RNA is filed under the name bacterium DR2A-7G17. RNAcentral's name for it is "bacterial SSU rRNA". It matches the Rfam family "Bacterial small subunit ribosomal RNA", at positions 320 to 883 of the family's 1533-position model. RNAcentral also lists the same sequence under 1 other name. The record is from RNAcentral.
UGAGACACGGCCCAGACUCCUACGGGAGGCAGCAGUGGGGAAUUUUGGACAAUGGGGGCAACCCUGAUCCAGCAAUGCCGCGUGAGUGAAGAAGGCCUUCGGGUUGUAAAGCUCUUUUGUCAGGGAAGAAACGGUACGGGCUAAUAUCCUGUGCUAAUGACGGUACCUGAAGAAUAAGCACCGGCUAACUACGUGCCAGCAGCCGCGGUAAUACGUAGGGUGCAAGCGUUAAUCGGAAUUACUGGGCGUAAAGCGUGCGCAGGCGGUUUUGUAAGUCUGUCGUGAAAUCCCCGGGCUCAACCUGGGAAUUGCGAUGGAGACUGCAAGGCUAGAAUCUGGCAGAGGGGGGUAGAAUUCCACGUGUAGCAGUGAAAUGCGUAGAGAUGUGGAGGAACACCGAUGGCGAAGGCAGCCCCCUGGGUCAAGAUUGACGCUCAUGCACGAAAGCGUGGGGAGCAAACAGGAUUAGAUACCCUGGUAGUCCACGCCCUAAACGAUGUCUACUAGUUGUCGGGUUUUAAUUAACUUGGUAACGCAGCUAACGUCGUGAAGUAGACCGCCUGGGGAGUAC